AGCAGUAGCCACGGGAAUACAGAGGGUGCGAGCGUUAAUCGGAUUUACUGGGCGUAAAGCGUGCGUAGGCGGCUUUUUAAGUCGGAUGUGAAAUCCCUGAGCUUAACUUAGGAAUUGCAUUCGAUACUGGGAAGCUAGAGUAUGGGAGAGGAUGGUAGAAUUCCAGGUGUAGCGGUGAAAUGCGUAGAGAUCUGGAGGAAUACCGAUGGCGAAGGCAGCCAUCUGGCCUAAUACUGACGCUGAGGUACGAAAGCAUGGGGAGCAAACAGGAUUAGAUACCCCAGUAGUCCCUGUCUCUUAUAA
RNAcentral lists this ribosomal RNA (303 nucleotides) under uncultured bacterium. Its description in RNAcentral is "partial 16S ribosomal RNA". It matches the Rfam family "Bacterial small subunit ribosomal RNA", at positions 507 to 809 of the family's 1533-position model. The record is from RNAcentral.